GAGAGGGGGGUGUGCCCUCCCUUUGCUGCUGAGCUUUGCAGCAGAGUGUGCAGGGACAGCACCAUGCAUGCCUGGAGUUAUUGCCAGUGCUCAGCAGCAUGGAAACAAACCUGAGGUCUUCUAAAUCCAAGAUUCUGUAAGAAAAGCUUCAGUGAGAGUGGUUCUGACCAAGCAGCAGCCUGGAAAACUCUCUCAGCAAGGAAUGUGUGCGCAGGGGAGCUGCGAUGGGUGGAUGGCAGCUGACUGGCAUUAGUCAGCUCUCUCACUGCUCCCACUCCCAAGGACCUAAGGCUUUACAGAGACUUCUCUCCUCUCAGCAUUGGCCUCCCUGGACCCAGCAGAAGUGGAAAAACCACUCAAAUAUUUAUUAAAAAACCCUGAUGUUCUUACAGGACUCACCGAAAUCCUGGAUACUUUUCUGUUUGGUCCUGACAGACAAUUAAUGUCUUCAGAACACUUCCACAAGGAGCUGGAUGGUAUCCACCCUGGCUUUGGGGGAUUCUGGCAGAGGUUGUGUGUUGCUGUUGCAACAUUCCGUUGUCACGCCAGCGGAAUUCUGGGCUCCACAUCACAAAGGACCAAGACGUGACCUUGUGUGGCACCAGGGCGAGUGCAGCGUGCCUUUAUCUCUGUGGGGAGGGUGUGCACGACCAGAAUGGGAGGGGUCUGAGGACUGUAUAAACCACAGGACUGCUCACCACCUGGCUAGAGGUGUCACUGUCCUCUAAUUAAGGCAUGGGCGUCACAGGUCCCUUGGAGAGCACUUGUCUCAUGGGAUGCUUGAGGACUCCUGCAUUGAGGUCACAGGGUGGAUCCAGCCCUGCUCACACCAACAGUGUCACAGUUCCCUCUGUCACAUGGCAGCCAUCACCCAAAGGGACACCUGAAUGCUCGUGACAUGCUACACCUGCUCACACAUGGCUGUGGGAUUCCUGUAAAUGUGGGAUUUGGGGGCAUUUUGGCAGCUCUCUUAAUCUGCCUUCUACUGACGUAUACAAAAAACGAGAGACCAGACCAGAGCCUUUUAUCCAGACAUUUCUCAGCUUUGAAGAUGUUUCUGCAAUACCAAGAAUUGCCAAUCACAUGGGCAGAACUGGAUAGUUCUGGUCCUCGGGAACCACGAGCCUGGAAUCUGAGGGAGGUGGUUCAUUCCUGCAGCGGGUGAUCCCCAUUGUGACAUGUAUUUUAUUGAGGAGGAGGCUGGGAUGGUCCUGCUGGGUUCUGGCUUUGUGCAGUGCUUGGAGGGUGGUUGUUGGAGAUCUCCAGCAGUGACUAACAGGCACUGGAUAUACCCAAAUAACAGCGUGAAGUGGUAACCUGGCAAUCAGCACGUC
Molecule: long non-coding RNA, 1334 nt
Filed under: Manacus vitellinus (golden-collared manakin)
Lineage: Eukaryota; Metazoa; Chordata; Aves; Passeriformes; Pipridae
Description: lncRNA (ENSMVIG00005010492.1)
Source: RNAcentral